This 439-nucleotide ribosomal RNA is filed under the name uncultured bacterium. RNAcentral's name for it is "partial 16S ribosomal RNA". It matches the Rfam family "Bacterial small subunit ribosomal RNA", at positions 339 to 795 of the family's 1533-position model. The record is from RNAcentral.
CUACGGGUCGCUGCAGUGAGGAAUAUUGCACAAUGGGGGGAACCCUGAUGCAGCAACGCCGCGUGGAGGAUGACGCAUUUCGGUGUGUAAACUCCUUUUAUAUGUCAAGAAAAUGACGGUAGCAUAUGAAUAAGCACCGGCUAACUCUGUGCCAGCAGCCGCGGUAAUACGGAGGGUGCAAGCGUUACUCGGAAUCACUGGGCGUAAAGGACGCGUAGGCGGGUUGGAAAGCCAGGUGUGAAAUCCUACAGCUUAACUGUAGAACUGCACUUGAAACUUCUAAUCUAGAGUAUGGGAGGGGGAGAUGGAAUUAGUGGUGUAGGGGUAAAAUCCGUAGAUAUCACUAGGAAUACCUAAAGCGAAGGCGAUCUCCUGGAACAUUACUGACGCUAAGGCGUGAAAGCGUGGGGAGCAAACAGGAUUAGAUACCCGAGUAGUC